Hordeum vulgare subsp. vulgare (domesticated barley) is the source of this 124-nucleotide non-coding RNA. The record is from Rfam. NCBI's taxonomy places the organism in Eukaryota, Viridiplantae, Streptophyta, Magnoliopsida, Poales, Poaceae.
CAAAUACUCCCUCCGUCCGAAAAUACUUGUCCUAGAGAUGAACGUAUCUAGACUUAUUUUAGUCAUAGAUACGUCCAUUAUAUCCAUUUCUAGGACAAGUAUUUCCGGACGGAGGGAGUAGCAA